UUCGUGGCGCUAUCAUCUCGACGCUAGGGGGCGCCCUCGCCUCACGUUGUAACCUCAGCCUCUGGCGUCAGGAUCCAUUUCUUUCUAGAGCUUUCCCCGUCCGAGAGGCGGUGUAGGUGCUCACGUAGGCGGGUACCGAUCCGAGUAGGGUGAGACUGACAAACAAAAGGGAUCCGCGGGAGCGUUGAAUGCAGGCUACUGGGCUCUUCGCCGGCAGCAGUCACACAGUGCUGGCCGGGAGUCACCGUGACGUCCUUGAGCUGAGAGCCCUCUCCAGGUCGCCGGACUGCGGAGCCAGGGUGAAGGCAAACGUGGAUGGGUCUUCCGGGAGGGCUGCUCAGGGUUUCCGUCUUCUGCUUCCUGGGCGCUGGCUCAGAACGCAUCCCAGAGCUCCCUGGUGCCUUCCUGGAAGCGGGCAGUGGUCACUGUCAACACUGGGCCCCCUUGGGGGAGCCUGCCAGCUGGGGGGGUCAGGGGUCAGGAACCACAGCCAGGUGGGUCCGGAGCCGGUGGCCUCACCUGGCGGCUGCCAAGCGGAGGCUGCCUGUGGUUCCCCAAGGGCCAGCAAUUGGGCGGAUUAGGUAAACAACCAAGCCUUGACCGUGAUCUGAUGUUUUUUUAAAAAAAGGUAUUCAUGUUGGUGCUAGCACGAAUGUGAGAGUGGCUGAGGCUUUGGGGGAGUUUGGUAUGAGAAAGGAACUUGUAUAGUUAGAAAAAUAAAAAGGGAAUGAUACAGUCUCCCAGCUCCCCUACACAAUGAUUUAGCUGUGGUUCAAGGGAAAGUAAGAGGACAAGGAACACGUCCAAGGUGCAGGGACCCGCUGGGGCAGUGGGGCCAGCCUAGGGCCCCGCGGUGGGGUGCACCCCCCCCCAAGACACUAUUAAUGAAACCUGGCAGCCCAGCGAUGAUUUUAUUUUUGUCCCUACAGCAGCUCCCAGAGGGCUGGCUUUGCGGGUCCUGGUCCAUGAGGUUGGGAUAAUGGAAUUCAGUACACAGAAAGUGAAGAGAGAGAGAGACAGAGAGAGGCCAGGGUUACUGCUGCCCCCACGGAGCAGACAGCCUGGGAAGGGCCUUGCAAGGUGACGGCAGAAUAUAGGAGGCUUCUACUACCCAGGCCUUGGAGCCGGCCCCAGCGUCUGUGGCCGGUGAAUGAGUGAACCUGUGAGCUUGCCAACGCUCUUUGGUCUGAACGUGGUGGGGUCGCGGCCGUGCUGUGGGGAGGAAGAAAGCGACCGAGACUGACCCUGCCUCCAGGGAGCUGCACCUGUGCCCUCGGAAUCAGUUUUCACAUGUUCAGGUCCCCUUUCUUCUGUUCCGCAUUCGAGGAGAAACUGGAAGGCCUGGACCCAGAAGUCUCAUGUCAACUGCAUAAAUGCUUAUUGGCCUCCCUUUAAUUUUGGUUUGAGCUCAAGACUAUCUCGAGCUUAGUUGUAACACGCACAAGGACAGCUCAGUGAUAUUUCCUAUUUCUCCAGUUUGCACAAAUCCAGUGAAGACAUGGACAGCUCGGACUGUGGGAAAAGGAGAAGUGGGCUGAGACUCUGAUACGCCGGCCUCGGAAUCGCUUGUUUACAGAAUCAGCAGCAGGGCCCGCAGAGGCUGGGCCGAGGCCUCGGCCGUGCCUGGGAAACGGGAAACUCAGUUCCCUGUUUUUGGCAGGACAUGAAAGCUGAAGAUUAUCCCCUAAUCCUGUGGCAUUUUUUAAUCCAUGGAAUGGGCUUUGGGGCUCAGUAAUUUCCACUUAAAGUCACACACUCGCUCGGAGGCCCGAAUGUUUCGGUUACUCCUGCCGAAUCCAUGGAGAGGCCACGGCCACCGUGAGUGUCGGCGAUGGCUGACAGAGAAGACAGCUGGGCUCCUGUCCAGUGGUGACACACCCUCUCCACCCCGCACUGCCCCCUCUGUUAGAAUGCAAAUGGAGGAAGUUUGAAAGUCCACGCGGUAUCAACAAAUGGGAACCGCUGGUGUGUUCCGUGGCACAUGCACGUGAUGGAGUAUUAUUUGGCCAGCAAAAGGACCGAAGUACUGACACCUGCUGCUUCACAGAUGAACCCCGAAGAGUGCCGAGUAUCAGAAGCCGCACACAAAAGGCCACGCGUUGUGUGGCUCUGUUUAUGUGACAUGUCCACAAAUGAGCAAAUGCACAGAACCAGAACUCAGAUUAGUGGUGGCAGGGGUUGGAGAGUGGGAAAUGGGGUGACUGUGGAGAGAAGGAGAGGCAGAGAGAGAGAGAGAGAGAGAGAGUCUUCCAUCCGCUGGUUCACUUCCCAGAUGGCUGCAAUGGCCAGAGCUGAGCAGAUCUGAAGCCAGGAACCAGGAGCUUUCUCCAGGUCCCCCACAUGGGUGUAGGGGCCCAAGGCUUUGGACCAUCUUCCACUGCUUUCCCAGACCAUAGCAGGAAUCUGGAUCGGAAGUGGGGUAGCUGGGUCUUAAACCAGCGCCCAUAUGGGAUGUCGGCCCCGCAGGUGAAGGCUUUACCCUCUACGCCACGGUGCUGGCCCCGGGUGAGGUGUUUCUUUUCGGGGUGAUGGAAGCUCUCUGGAGUUGCUGGUGGUGAUUGUGCACUUCUGUGAUGUGUUAGCCAACACAGAAGCAUACUCUGAAAGGGUGAACUUUGUAGAUGCAAGUUAUAUCUCAAUAAAGAAAAGCGAAAAUAAAAAGCGGCAAAGCCUCCCAAGGGGUCAAAAAUAAGAGUAAGAGGGGAAAAUCUGACUGUCCUGUUGGUGCCUGUCCUGAAGACGAUUUCCCAGCAUCCUCAGUGAGCCAAACCGUCCCUGUCCUCACCAUUGCCCUCACACUGGCUCAGGUCUCUAGCACUCUUGCCUGGGUAAACUAACGACUUUUUUUUUUCCUUUUAUAUAUUUGUUUUAAAAUUACCUGUGUUUUAUCUUCAUUUUAUUUGAAAUGGAGAGAGAGAGAGGAGAGAGAGAGAGAGAGAGAGAGAGGAGAAUCUUCCAUCCACUGGUUCACUCUCCAAAUUCUUCCAAUGAUCAGUGAUCAGGACUGGGUCAAGUCAAAGCUAGGAGUUGGGAACUCUGGGUCUCCAAUGUGGAUGGCAGGGACCCAACUACUUGAGCCAUCAUUUGCUUCCUCCCAGGGUGCAAUUUAGCAGGAAGCUGGAGUGGGGAGUGGAGCCGGGACUUGAACCCAGGCACUGUGGCAGGGAUGUGAGUGUCCCAAGAUGCAUCUUAACUGCUAUACCAAAUGCCUGCUCUGGACUAAAGGGUUUUGACAGUUGCAAGGAUCCAGCCCAACUCUCUUGCUUACUAGGGUGGGGGUGGGGGGAGCUAGUCCCAGACAGCACAAGUCACGUGUGCAGAGCUCUCUGCUCAGUGGCUAAGCUGCAUCUGAAACCCAGAGUUCUUUUUGGUGGUCCAUGAUUGCAAUCACUUCCCCUCUCCUUCAGCUCCUCUUGCUCCUAUCCUGUUGCACAAGGGAGCAUCCAAAAGUUCCUGCGGGCUGGCCUUGUGGUGCAGUUGAGUUCAGCCGCAACCUGAAACGCUAGCAUCCCAUAUCAGAGUGCUGGUUCGCAUCUGGCUGUACCACUUCCGAUCCAGCUCCCCGCUAAGGCACCUGGGAAGGCAGUGGGUGGCGGACCAAAUACUUGGUCUCUUGUCACCCCGAUGGGAGACUGGGUUGGAGUUCUGGGCUCCUGGCUUCAGCCUGGCCCGGCUUCUGCCAUUGUGGCCGUUUGGGGAGUGAGCCAAUGGCUGAAAAAUCUCUUUCUCUCUCUGUCUCUUCCUUUCUCUCUGUCACUCGGCCUUUCAUAUAAAUAAAAUAAAUCAUUAACAAAAGUUAAUGGAAAAUGCAAUUAAAAGAUUAGUUUAUUUUGGUGCCAACAUUUUUGAGACUUGUGCACACAAGGGGUCUUCCAGAAAGGCCAUGGAAACUGUUUAUUCUGAAGAAAUUACGCCUUUCAAAAACUGUGUGUGUUUAUCGCUUUGCUCCUCAGCCAAAGUGCAAAUCCUGGGGUCCUUGACCUCCUGGCGUGGAGCACAGCAGAGUUCCUUAAACGUGGGAGAAACCUGGAAGCGUUUACAGAGGAGCUGAACCCAUUCAAGGCUGUGGCUAAUCUUCGUCCGGACAAAGCCAAGGGUGUCGUGCUGCAGUCCAUUGUAGAUUUAGAAAAUGGAACAAAAAUCCCAGGAAUACAAAGAAGGAAAGCAAAAGCUCCCGUAAUUCCAGCCCCUAGGGAGUAGUAUCUGGUGACAAGCUUUGCUCUGUACAAUUGCCCGCAUGUGCAUCACGAGUGCGCACAGGCAGCCAUCUUUCUGUGCACCGGUGUAAACACAUAGACCACACUUACAGAAAGGACUCCCGGGCUGCACACUGCUCUUAAAUGAAAAGGGAAGAUUCGACAGUGUGCAUUAAAUGGGAAGAAUUUCGUUGCGACUCCAGUGAUUCAUGUCAAUGACGUGGAGACAGAGUCGGUCAGUAUUUGUUUUCUUUCUUUGCUUUUCUUGGUGCAGGAAAGGGUGAAAGAGCGAGGUAAGAGGGGUUCCAAGAACUAAGGCGCGAGUGCUUUCCUGGGUCAGGGCCGUGGGGCCGCUGCCCUCCCUGGCCCCCGCCUGGCUCCUCACCAGGUCUGUGACGAGCGAGACCGGAGCCUGAGCCGCUGUGACCCGUUUCCAGAGUUCUGUGAGCUUCUCCCCAUUCCUUGUCUGUCCUCGGCCGCUCCAGAGCCCUCCACGCGAGAGGGCAGGGAAUGAGAAGGCCUUGUUCCUGGGUUUGUUGCCAGCACAGGGCCUGGCAAAGAACUGACACUCAAUAAAUAUUUGUUAACGAAUGAAUGGAUGAGACACUCAUGAAUGGUGUCUUUUGUUAUGGAAAUCGCUGGACGACAUGGUCUUCUUUGGAA
Long non-coding RNA from Oryctolagus cuniculus (rabbit), 4859 nucleotides. RefSeq lists it as uncharacterized. The record is from RefSeq and is a predicted model, not a curated record. NCBI's taxonomy places the organism in Eukaryota, Metazoa, Chordata, Mammalia, Lagomorpha, Leporidae.